Non-coding RNA from Capsicum annuum, 47 nucleotides. The record is from Rfam. Lineage: Eukaryota; Viridiplantae; Streptophyta; Magnoliopsida; Solanales; Solanaceae.
UAAAAGGUUCUUUUAAGAACUAUUUCAAUAUUACACUUACUAAUUAU